This 1931-nucleotide ribosomal RNA is filed under the name metagenome. RNAcentral's name for it is "bacterial LSU rRNA". It matches the Rfam family "Bacterial large subunit ribosomal RNA", at positions 3 to 1977 of the family's 2925-position model. The record is from RNAcentral.
UCAAGUGACUAAGUGCAUGCGGCGGAUGCCUUGGCGAUCACAGGCGAAGAAAGACGCGGCAGCCUGCGAAAAGCUGCGGGGAGCUGGCAAACGAGCUUUGAUCCGCAGAUAUCUGAAUGGGGGAACCCACACCGCAAGGUGUAUCCGUAGCUGAAUACAUAGGUUACGGAGGCGAACGAGGAGAACUGAAACAUCUAAGUAUCCUCAGGAAAAGAAAUCAACCGAGAUUCCGGCAGUAGCGGCGAGCGAACCCGGAGGAGCCUAGCUUUUGAUAGUACGAACUUUAGCCGAAAGGUCCUGGAAAGGCCUGCUAUAGUGGGUGAUAGCCCCGUAGGCGAAAAAGUUUGUGCGGUACUAAGGAAGCGAGAAGUAGAGCGGGACACGUGGAAUCCUGUUCGAAGACGGGGGGACCAUCCUCCAAGGCUAAAUACUCGUGAUCGACCGAUAGUGAACCAGUACCGUGAGGGAAAGGCGAAAAGAACCCCGGGAGGGGAGUGAAAUAGAACCUGAAACCGCAUGCAUACAAACAGUAGGAGCCUUUACGGAGGUGACUGCGUACCUUUUGCAUAAUGGGUCAGCGACUUACAUUCUGUGGCGAGCUUAACCGAAUAGGGGAGGCGCAGCGAAAGCGAGUUCGAAAUGAGCGUCCAGUCGCAGGGUGUAGACCCGAAACCAGAUGAGCUAUCCAUGGCCAGGUUGAAGGUGUGGUAACACACACUGGAGGACCGAACCGACUAGUGUUGCAAAAUUAGCGGAUGAGCUGUGGAUAGGGGUGAAAGGCCAAACAAAUCUGGAGAUAGCUGGUUCUCCCCGAAAACUAUUGAGGUAGUGCCUCGUGUGUCGCUCCAGGGGGUAGAGCACUGUUUUGGCUAGGGGGACAUGGAGUCUUACCAAACCAAGGCAAACUCCGAAUACCUGGAAGCGUAAGCACGGGAGACAGAGCACCGGGUGCUAACGUCCGGACUCAAAAGGGAAACAACCCAGACCGCCGGCUAAGGUCCCAAAUAACAGCUAAGUGGAAAACGAAGUGGAAAGGCCGUGACAACCAGGAAGUUGGCUUAGAAGCAGCCAUCCUUCAAAGAAAGCGUAAUAGCUCACUGGUCGAGUCCUUCUGCGCGGAAGAUGUAACGGGGCUAAGCUGUUAACCGAAGCCGCGGAUGCACUGGUUAUCCAGUGCGUGGUAGGGGAGCGUUCUGUAAGUCUGCGAAGGCGGUUCGAGAGGACUGCUGGAGAUAUCAGAAGUGCGAAUGCUGACAUGAGUAACGUUAAAGCAGGUGAAAAGCCUGCUCGCCGUAAGCCCAAGGAUUCCUGCUCUACGUUCAUCGGAGCAGGGUGAGUCGGCUCCUAAGGUCAGGCCGAAAGGCGUAGCCGAUGGGAAUCAGGUUAAUAUUCCUGAACCUGCGUCAGAUGCGAUGGGGGGACGGAGCAUGGAAGAUCAUCCGGGUGUUGGAAGUCCCGGUUGUUUAGCGUAGGAGGUCUGCAGGCAAAUCCGCAGACGCAUCUCCAAGGCAAAGACACGUGCCGCCACGGCGGCGAAGUGAUCGGAAGUGCUUCCAAGAAAAGCCUCUAAGCACCAGUCUGAUGCGGACCGUACCGCAAACCGACACUGGUGGGCGAGCUGAAUAUGCUCAGGCGCUUGAGAGAACUCGGGAGAAGGAACUCGGCAAAUUGACACCGUAACUUCGGAAGAAGGUGUGCCGUAGUACCGUGAGAGGAGAGACACCUUGAGCGGGAAACGGUCUCAGAGAAUAGGUGGCUGCGACUGUUUAUUAAAAACACAGCACUCUGCAAAGUCGAAAGACGACGUAUAGGGUGUGAUGCCUGCCCGGUGCUGGAAGAUUAAUUGAUGGGGUGAGAGCCCUUGAUCGAAGUCCCAGUAAACGGCGGCCGUAACUAUAACGGUCCUAAGGUAGCGAAAUUCCUUGUCGGGU